This 478-nucleotide ribosomal RNA is filed under the name uncultured bacterium. Its description in RNAcentral is "partial 16S ribosomal RNA". It matches the Rfam family "Bacterial small subunit ribosomal RNA", at positions 28 to 523 of the family's 1533-position model. The record is from RNAcentral.
GACGAACGCUGGCGGCGUGCUUAACACAUGCAAGUCGAACGGCAAGGCCCUUCGGGGUACACGAGUGGCGAACGGGUGAGUAACACGUGGGUGAUCUGCCCUGCACUUCGGGAUAAGCCUGGGAAACUGGGUCUAAUACCGGAUAGGACCACUGCCUGCAUGGGUGGUGGUGGAAAGCUUUUGCGGUGUGGGAUGGGCCCGCGGCCUAUCAGCUUGUUGGUGGGGUGAUGGCCUACCAAGGCGACCACGGGUAGCCGGCCUGGGAGGGUGGCCGGCGACACGGGGACUGAGAUACGGCCCAGACUCCUACGGGAGGCAGCAGUGGGGAAUAUUGCACAAUGGGCGCAAGCCUGAUGCAGCGACGCCGCGUGAGGGAUGACGGCCUUCGGGUUGUAAACCUCUUUCAGCACCGACGAAGCGCAAGUGACGGUAGGUGCAGAAGAAGGACCGGCCAACUACGUGCCAGCAGCCGCGGUAA